This 424-nucleotide ribosomal RNA is filed under the name Enterococcus faecium. RNAcentral's name for it is "bacterial SSU rRNA". It matches the Rfam family "Bacterial small subunit ribosomal RNA", at positions 142 to 552 of the family's 1533-position model. Lineage: Bacteria; Bacillati; Bacillota; Bacilli; Lactobacillales; Enterococcaceae. The record is from RNAcentral.
GAUAACACUUGGAAACAGGUGCUAAUACCGUAUAACAAUCAAAACCGCAUGGUUUUGAUUUGAAAGGCGCUUUCGGGUGUCGCUGAUGGAUGGACCCGCGGUGCAUUAGCUAGUUGGUGAGGUAACGGCUCACCAAGGCCACGAUGCAUAGCCGACCUGAGAGGGUGAUCGGCCACAUUGGGACUGAGACACGGCCCAAACUCCUACGGGAGGCAGCAGUAGGGAAUCUUCGGCAAUGGACGAAAGUCUGACCGAGCAACGCCGCGUGAGUGAAGAAGGUUUUCGGAUCGUAAAACUCUGUUGUUAGAGAAGAACAAGGAUGAGAGUAACUGUUCAUCCCUUGACGGUAUCUAACCAGAAAGCCACGGCUAACUACGUGCCAGCAGCCGCGGUAAUACGUAGGUGGCAAGCGUUGUCCGGAUUU